UCCAACACAGAGGAAAGCGAUGAAAGAUGAGGAGAACAAUGAGGUAAUCAGUCCCUGUCUGGAUUCGAUAUGUUAAGAUUAAGAUAAGAUUUUGUUCGGAUUUUUAGCCCCGGAGGGUUAGCUACCCAGGAUAACCCAAGAAAAUCAUUGCUUCAUAGACGUCUGCCUGUCUUAUUUCCAUUGGGAUCCUUCAGUCUUGUCCCCCAGGAUGCGACCCACACCAGUCGACUAACACCAGGUAACUACUUGCUAGGUGAACGGGGACAUCAGGUGUAAGGAAACACGCCCAAUGUUUCCACCCGGCCGCGAAUCGACCCACGGACCCUCAGUGUGUGAGGUGAGAGUGUUACCUACCAGGCCACGGGAGAAACAAAUACACUCCACUACAUCACAAACUUACCAACCUCUGCAGUUUAAAAGAGCGCGGGGCCAGCAUGGAGCGCUGAGCGCGACUUGGAAAGUGGAAGCAAGGAGAGCAGUACCGUGGUGUUGCCAGUGUGUGUGAACCAGCAGUGGAGGGAGGGUGUGACACCUCAUACAACCUGGGACAGAAUUUUUCAGUGGCUGUCCAGUUCUCAGGUACUUGUAAUAAGUCAAACUUAACACAUCCCACUGCAGUUCACAUUGGAGUUAAUAAAUAUUUUGAUGAACCUUCAAGAUUUGUCAAGAAAUGCAUGAAGUGGCGACCUAUAUUAGAUGUUUUUUUCAGUACUACCUUUCUGGGAAAGUAGAACCUGACAGGCGCUUAAUGGACGUAGGAUCGAACCUCAACUAUCCCUUAUGUAAAUAGGUUCCCAUGUGUUCAGUGCUUCAUGAAAAUGCAGUAACAAUUCGUUAUAGCUCUUACAAGACUGAGUUGGACAUGAGUGAAGUGUUGCCUAGACACUGGAGUGAUUCAUAGCGAGAAAGUGAAAGUGAACGUGUACGGUGACCUUGAACAUUACGUUCACCACACACAAGAACACCUCCGUGAACCACACAAGAACAACUCCUUGAACCACACACAAGAACACCUCUCUGAGCCACAAACAAGAACACCUCUGUGAACCACACACAAAAACACCUCUGAACCACACACAAGAACACCUCUGUGAACCACACACAAGAACACCUCUGUGAGCCACACACAAGAACACCUCUGUGAACCACACACAAGAACACCUCAGUGAACCACACACAAGAACACCUCAGUGAACCCCACACAAGAACACCUCUGUGAGCCACACACAAGAACACCUCUGUGAGCCACACACAAGAACACCUCUGUGAACCACACACAAGAACACCUCAGUGAACCACACACAAGAACACCUCAGUGAACCACACACAAGAACACCUCUGUGAACCACACACAAGAACACCUCAGUGAACCACACACAAGAACACCUCAGUGAGCCACACACAAGAACACCUCUGUGAGCCACACACAAGAACACCUCCGUGAACCACACACAAGAACACCUCCGUGAACCACAUACAAGAACACCUCCGUGAACCACACAUAAGAACACCUCUAUGAACCACACAAGAACACCUCUGUGAACAACACACAAAACCACCUCCGUGAACCACAGAAAUAUAACCAUGGAAACAUAAUUACCAGUCCUCUCACCGAUACAAAACCAGAAAUCGCUACAAAAAAGAAAUAGAUAAUUGGCUUAAAAUUACGCCUUGAACAAAAUAAUACAUUGCUUUAAGUAGAAAACAUAAAUAUAGUACCAUAUCGGAAUAAAUGUAAGAUACCCAAGGACUUUAAUAGGGAAAAAUGAGUGAUU
Molecule: long non-coding RNA, 1775 nt
Organism: Cherax quadricarinatus
Lineage: Eukaryota; Metazoa; Arthropoda; Malacostraca; Decapoda; Parastacidae
Source: RefSeq, a predicted model, not a curated record